Molecule: long non-coding RNA, 3309 nt
Filed under: Brassica rapa (field mustard)
Lineage: Eukaryota; Viridiplantae; Streptophyta; Magnoliopsida; Brassicales; Brassicaceae
Description: long non-coding RNA (BRAP_LNC006895)
Source: RNAcentral
AGAAAUUGAAUCUUUUAUUUGGGGUUUAUUUAUUAAAUUUACUGAUAUUUUUAAUAUAAAAUUUUGAAUUAAUUUCUUAUUUAAAGAUGUGAAAAUAGUCGAAUUACUGUAGUUAAAAAUACACAUUAUUGAUUUUUUUAUAUGUUACAGAUUAAGUAAACCAUAUUAUCUAAAUAACUGACUACAAUUUUCACUGACAAUUUUAUUAUCUACUAUUAUUUCUUAAAUGCUGUAACAGAGACGGUAGUCAAGAGAAUCUGUCGAUAGACCUAACUGAUGAAUGGACCUAACCGAUGAACGAAAGCGAACUGAAAUCAAAUAAAAAAUUUUCUGAAUUUAUAUUCCUCCUCAAACUAUCUUGAAACAGAACACGCACUGAAAGUCAUGUUUGUUUCAGAUUUUAUGUUCGAUGUUGCCUUUUUAAAUUUAAAUACCUAUGCAAUCUUUAUUGUAUUUUAUAUUGCAAAAUUAAAUUAAACAAUUUAAAAAGCAAAAAUAAAAACAAAUUGUAAAUCUAUGUUAUGCGUGUUAACUUAUAACACACAAAAAGAACAUAAUUGUUGUAUAAUAUAAAAGUGGGAGUAUAUUAUUUAUUUGUGUUUGGUGGUAAAAGGAGAGAGAGAGAGAUUGAAUGUGAGAGGAAGAGAGUUGAGUGUUUUAUUAUAUAUAUUUGUUGUAUUACGAGAGAGAGAUAGUGGAGUGACAGAGGAAGUUGUGAAGUGUAAAAGAUGAUUAUUAUUCACUUCAUAUGAUCCUAUUUAUAAAGACUUCAAGUCGGGGAAACACAUAUGUUUGAAUAAUUAAAAAAAAAAACGCUUGGAAGAGAAACAGAGGCGAAAAAAAGAAGAAGAAAAGUCGUGGGUUUUUUUCCUCUCCGGCGGCCCCCACGGCGCUGUGAGAGGAGUGGGUAGAUCUAGGAUUCUUUGUUUGCUUUGUGUGGUUUUCUUAUGGGUAAGUUUCUACCAUCGUGAUUUAAGGUGAAGAGGAGUGAGAGGAUUUGAGCGCCGGUGUUAUCUCUUGGUGUCGUCGGAGUCAAUUAGAGGUCUUUGUUCAGAUCUGGUAUGGCGAGGUCGUGAUUUGGAAUUCUGGUUCCCUAUGAUUUCAGAUUUGGGUUUAUUACCUAGGGUUUGGUCGUUUUCGUACUGUAGUUGUAUAUGCCCGCUGAUUUUGACAUGGUUGACCCUCUUUUCGUGCUCUUCAUCUCUGGUUCUUGCUUCGUUGGAGGUUUUAGUGAUGGUCUUGUCUUAGUGGUUCUUGUCGGCUCGUUAGUUGGUUUGAGCCUAGGAAGUGGAUGGUUUGACUCUGGCCCUGUUCGUUUGUACAUCUCGAAGAUGCAUCCAGAUGGUCCAUCUAGAUGUCCUACCCAGAUGAUCCAUCUGGGUGUUGUUCGUUUCUUCAUUUCGUCCAUGCAUCCAGAUGAAUCAUCUGAAUGCAACUAUGUUCGUUUGAUUUUCAUUUUUUAACUUCCAUCUUCAUCCAGGUGAACUUGUUAAUAAAAUGACUAAAAUAUAAUUUUUAAUGUUUCGGCGGAAAAAAUCAUUUUAACGGUUUUGGCUGAAAAUAUAUUUGCGGUUUUUGAGGAAAAUGUGUUUUUCGCGAAAAAUGCAUUUUUAUGGUUUUGACGGAAAUACGUUUUUGGGUUUGGCGAAAAAUACGUUUUUGCGGUUUGGAUGGAAAAAGUGUGUUUUGAAAGUUUUGGCGGGAAAAGUAUUUUUUCACGAUUUUGGAGGGAAAAGUUAUUUUUUGCGACUUUGGCUUGGAAACUCAUUUUGGCGUUUUAGCGGAAAAAUGCAUUUUUCCAGUUUGUCGGGAAAGCAUUUUUCCAGUUUUAGCGGGAAAAUGCAUUUUCCCGGUUUUAGCGGGAAAAUGCGUUUUUUCCGGUUUUGGCGGGGAAAAUUCGUUUACCGGUUUUGGCGGGAAAAAUUUCGUUUUUCGGUUUUGGUGGAAAAAUUCGGUUUUCCGGUUUUGGCGGGAAAUUGUGUUUUUUUCGGUUUUGGUGAGAAAAUGCGUUUUUCCUGUUUUGGCGGGAAAAUGCUUUUUGCGGUUUUGGCCGGAAAAUGCUUUUUGGAGUUUUGGCGGGAAUAUGCGUUUUUUUGUUUUGGCGGGAAAAUGCGUUUUUUUCGGUUUUGGUCGAAAAGUGUGGUUUUACUGGUUUAGCCGAAACAUGUGUUUUUAUGAAAAUGCGUGUUUUAUGUUUUUGUUUUUUGCGGAAAACCGCAUCUUGCGGUUUUGGCGGAAAUGUGUUUUUUCAGUUUUUGCGAGAAAAUUCAUUUUUUGUUAUAGCGGAAAAAUGUAUAUGCAAAAAAAGAAUUUACGAUUUGAAAAUAAUAUUUUAAUUUUAAAAGGUCAUUUUUGUCAUUUAUCAUUUUGGACUGAACUAGAUGCAUCUGCAUCCAGAUGCACCAUCAAGACUCACCUUCAUUUGGGUGAGAAUUUGAGAUGAGUUUUGAAAAAUUCAGCUGGGUGAUCCAUCUGGAUGUAGCAUUAUAAUGCACAAAACGAACAUCAAUUUGCAUCUUCACCCAGAUGGAUCACCUGGGUGAGCAAACGAACAGGGCCUCUGUGACAAGAUUGGGUUCGAUAGCGGGACUGAGACAGGAAGACAUUGCCUUCUCUGGAUAUGCACAGUUAUGGUGGUUGACAGUAUCAGUUGCAGACUUCUCUUCUAGUUGUGGUGGGUGCAGUGAUCUCUCGUCGGUGUGGUUUGCUAGUGAAUUCAUCUGUUAUGGAAUCGAUCGACGAGGCUUGUUUGUGUGAAGGUGUUUCGUGGGCUUCUAUCUAGGGGUAAAGUGAACGUCAGUGCGUCCUAUCCGUAUCCGAAAGUUAUGUGGAUCGUGAAGCGGUCUUUCUUGUCGGGUUGUGAAGUCUUGUUUCUUGGUUACUAGUGGGGAUGGUAUCGUUCGGCAGGCCAUAGGUGGCAACGAUAGAUCCGGGUUGCGAAGAUUGAGUGUCUUGGGUUCUAAAAGUGGAUGGUAUCGUCGGUUGGCCGAGGGCAGCUUCGAUAUAUCCAGAUCACUGUGUUUGCUAUGUUGGAAGGUCUUCUGUAUUGAUUUAUCCUUUGUUUGUGUGUUGAUGGCUUCUUGUCGGAUGUGUUUUAGUUGCGAUUUCUAGCUCUAAAUUGUCGUUGUGUUCGUAAGGUGCCCCGAUGUGGGUUUUAGUUGCCUUUCUUUUGGGCUUUUGUUUUCGGGGAUUUAAUGAUAUCUGCCGGUUUGUGUAUCAAGCUGUUUAUUUCACCAUGAAUCAAUAUUUUCAGAGGAAAAAUAAAAAAUAAAGACUUCAAGUCGGUAAAACUAACCGACAUUAGGAAAA